Molecule: small nucleolar RNA, 108 nt
Organism: Lycium barbarum (goji berry)
Lineage: Eukaryota; Viridiplantae; Streptophyta; Magnoliopsida; Solanales; Solanaceae
Product: small nucleolar RNA snoR97
Exons: 1
Source: RefSeq, a predicted model, not a curated record
CUUCAAAUUUGGGUGUAGGGUCUGAUAAACUCAUAAAGUUUUAAGUGCUGUCAUCAACUUCUUAAUUUUGUACCUACAUUUUUGGAGUCAAACUAACAGCACAUAUUU